UACAGAGGCCCCAAGCGUUAUCCGGAAUCAUUGGGCGUAAAGGGUGUCAAGGCGGUUAUGUUAGUCUUCCGUAAAAUCCAGGAGCUCAACUUCUGGCCCGCGGGAGAAACGGCAUGACUUGAGGGUGGGAGAGGUGCGUGGAACUCACGGUGUAGGGGUGAAAUCCGUUGAUAUCGUGGGGAACACCAAAGGCGAAGGCAGCGCACUGGCCCAUUCCUGACGCUCACACACGAAAGCCAGGGUAGCGAACGGG
Molecule: ribosomal RNA, 253 nt
Filed under: uncultured prokaryote
Description: partial 16S ribosomal RNA
Rfam family: Bacterial small subunit ribosomal RNA
Source: RNAcentral